Small nucleolar RNA from Papaver somniferum (opium poppy), 91 nucleotides. RefSeq annotates it as small nucleolar RNA R24. The record is from RefSeq and is a predicted model, not a curated record. The transcript has a single exon. NCBI's taxonomy places the organism in Eukaryota, Viridiplantae, Streptophyta, Magnoliopsida, Ranunculales, Papaveraceae.
UAAGCAGUGAUGAGCAGCUAACAUGUAAGAAAAACUCAUGUAGGAAGUGGGAUUUUCAAUGAAAUACUCUUAGGCUUGGCUUCUGAGAUUU